CUUCAAUAAUUUCUAAACAAUAAAUAAACUCGUCUGCAAAAAAUCAUUAGUGAUGAUGGAAAAAAAGACCGAAUAAAGUACGAAGUUGAGAAGCAUUUAGGACCCAAAACUCAAAAAUGUUAAAAGUUUGGAAGUCUAAAGAUACUAGUAUAUUAAUGGGUCGAAAUAUUUAAUUCAAAAGAGCUUACUUAAGGGUACUCAUAACUUAGUUGGAUCCGUAAAGCCAACUUUGCCGAAGAAGAUUCACCUUUUUGUGUCAAAUGGAAAUUAACUAAUAUGUAUUUUGAACUUUGAAACAGAUGUACAAAUGCCGGUAGCUAAAUUUCUAACGGGCCAAGAACAGAUUGAGAAGAACGCAAUUGGUAGACUAUUUAAUAAAAAAAAAAACAAUAAUAUUCAACUUUUUUUUUAAAAGUCUUUUAAAA
Molecule: long non-coding RNA, 425 nt
Filed under: Mytilus galloprovincialis (Mediterranean mussel)
Lineage: Eukaryota; Metazoa; Mollusca; Bivalvia; Mytilida; Mytilidae
Source: RNAcentral